AGUCGUAACAAGGUAUCCGUAGGUGAACCUGCGGAUGGAUCAUUACCAAAGGAUUAUUUCCUGACGUAUUGUGAACUGUAUUGAACCACAGUCAGUCUCUCUGACUUUGAGGGAGUGUUUGAGAGGGAACUACAGGGAAACCUGAUAGACCUAAUCAGAUUCUUCCUCAAAUGAGGCUGCCUGUACAACCAAACGUAGCCAUUCCUUAAACUGAAGUAUACUUGUUAAAAAACAAAGAUAACUUUUAGCAACGGAUCUCUUGGCUCUCA
RNAcentral lists this unclassified non-coding RNA (269 nucleotides) under fungal sp. Its description in RNAcentral is "partial internal transcribed spacer region". The stretch from base 1 to 45 matches the Rfam family "Eukaryotic small subunit ribosomal RNA", at positions 1787 to 1831 of the family's 1831-position model. Lineage: Eukaryota; Fungi. The record is from RNAcentral.